GCCAGGGUGGCGAAAUUGGUAGACGCGCCAGACUUAGGAUCUGGUGAGCUUGCUCGUGCAGGUUCGAGUCCUGUUCCUGGUACCA
RNAcentral lists this transfer RNA (85 nucleotides) under Verrucomicrobiales bacterium. Its description in RNAcentral is "tRNA-Leu". It matches the Rfam family "tRNA". Rfam says of the family: Transfer RNA (tRNA) molecules are approximately 80 nucleotides in length. Their secondary structure includes four short double-helical elements and three loops (D, anti-codon, and T loops). Further hydrogen bonds mediate the characteristic L-shaped molecular structure. tRNAs have two regions of fundamental functional importance: the anti-codon, which is responsible for specific mRNA codon recognition, and the 3' end, to which the tRNAs corresponding amino acid is attached (by aminoacyl-tRNA synthetases). tRNAs cope with the degeneracy of the genetic code in two manners: having more than one tRNA (with a specific anti-codon) for a particular amino acid; and 'wobble' base-pairing, i.e. permitting non-standard base-pairing at the 3rd anti-codon position. RNAcentral also lists the same sequence under 2 other names. The record is from RNAcentral. Lineage: Bacteria; Pseudomonadati; Verrucomicrobiota; Verrucomicrobiia; Verrucomicrobiales.